RNAcentral lists this ribosomal RNA (658 nucleotides) under uncultured fungus. RNAcentral's name for it is "eukaryotic LSU rRNA". It matches the Rfam family "Eukaryotic large subunit ribosomal RNA", at positions 24 to 664 of the family's 3401-position model. Lineage: Eukaryota; Fungi. The record is from RNAcentral.
CCCGCUGAACUUAAGCAUAUCAAUAAGCGGAGGAAAAGAAACUAACAAGGAUUCCCCUAGUAACUGCGAGUGAAGCGGGAAAAGCUCAAAUUUAAAAUCUGGCGGUCUUUGGCUGUCUGAGUUGUAAUCUAGAGAAGUGUUAUCCGCGCUGGACCGUGUACAAGUCUCCUGGAAUGGAGCAUCAUAGAGGGUGAGAAUCCCGUCUUUGACAUGGACUGCCAGGGCUUUGUGAUGCGCUCUCAAAGAGUCGAGUUGUUUGGGAAUGCAGCUCAAAAUGGGUGGUAAAUUCCAUCUAAAGCUAAAUAUUGGCGAGAGACCGAUAGCGAACAAGUACCGUGAGGGAAAGAUGAAAAGAACUUUGGAAAGAGAGUUAAACAGUACGUGAAAUUGCUGAAAGGGAAACGCUUGAAGUCAGUCGCGUCGUCCAGGGAUCAACCUUGCUUUUGCUUGGUGCACUUUCUGGUUCGAUGGGUCAGCAUCAAUUUUGACUGUUGGAAAAAGGUCAAGGGAAUGUGGCAUCUUUGGAUGUGUUAUAGCCCUUGGUCACAUACAAUGGUUGGGAUUGAGGAACUCAGCACGCCGCAAGGCCGGGUUUUAAACCACGUACGUGCUUAGGAUGCUGGCAAUAUGGCUUUAAUCGACCCGUCUUGAAACACGG